UACGUAGGGGGCUAGCGUUAUCCGGAAUUACUGGGCGUAAAGGGUGCGUAGGUGGUUUCUUAAGUCAGAGGUGAAAGGCUACGGCUCAACCGUAGUAAGCCUUUGAAACUGGGGAACUUGAGUGCAGGAGAGGAGAGUGGAAUUCCUAGUGUAGCGGUGAAAUGCGUAGAUAUUAGGAGGAACACCAGUUGCGAAAGCGGCUCUCUGGUCUGUAACUGACGCUGAGGUUCGAAAGCGUGGGUAGCAAACAGG
This 252-nucleotide ribosomal RNA is filed under the name uncultured bacterium. RNAcentral describes it as "partial 16S ribosomal RNA". It matches the Rfam family "Bacterial small subunit ribosomal RNA", at positions 524 to 776 of the family's 1533-position model. The record is from RNAcentral.